UGGACCCUUGUGAUAUGUGCUCACCCUUCUCUGCUCAGCUCUGUGCCUGGGAGGCUGACCUCUACAGACUGCAUCACCAGGCUUCCGCCCUCUGGCUUCCAGAUGGAUUUGGCCAAUGGGCAGCACCAGUGGGAAAGGAGAGGACAGGAGGAGAGACAGUCUGAGGCCUCCCUCCUCCUGUGUCCCUGACAUACAGUGACAGUGCUGCCCUGCAGGAUGGCAUAUCAGAGAGCUCAGGAUGGAUGCAGUCAAGGACGACAGCCCAUGUCCAAAAAAGCUGCCUGCUGAACAUUUGCCCAGCAGAUUUUAUAAAGAAAGGAAACAUCUUAGUGAUUUUCUUGCCUCCAGAAGAUUCCCUGAUCCAAUCUUUCCUUGGCACAAACUUUUAGUUAUUGUGUUUACAUAUACAUUUUAUAUAUGCGUGGUCAUUAUUGUAUCUGUUUUAUUUGGGGACUUUAUCUUGAUGUGUGUUAUACCUAAUACACUGCAAUAUAAAUU
Molecule: long non-coding RNA, 498 nt
Filed under: Pan troglodytes (chimpanzee)
Lineage: Eukaryota; Metazoa; Chordata; Mammalia; Primates; Hominidae
Description: lincRNA
Source: RNAcentral